Molecule: long non-coding RNA, 1037 nt
Filed under: Gallus gallus (chicken)
Lineage: Eukaryota; Metazoa; Chordata; Aves; Galliformes; Phasianidae
Source: RNAcentral
GAAAUAGAAGCAGCACUUGAAAAAGUUAUAAAUUUUUGUGAUAACUUUCUUUUUCUAAUGAUAGAAAAAAUGAGCUCAGGAAUUCAGCAGGAAAUGCAAAUGGUUUCUUGCUUGUUUGUUUUUAGAAUUUGAAUCCCUAAAUCUUUCUCCUAUAUACAUAUUUCAAUACUUCAAUCAUAUUUCAAUCUAGUUAAAACUUUAAAAUACUGUUAUUUCCUCAAUGCCAUAGCAAAUGGAUGCAGCUGGUACAAAGAAUGGUGAAACUGGGCGGAGUAGCGAUGAAGGGCUACUUCAGGAAACAACAAGUAAGCUUUGGAAUACUGAAACAGGAACAUUUUUCUCAUACCCAGUGCUCUCCAGAACUUCACAGCCAACUCAAGAAGUCAGUCCUGUGUCAGCAGGGAAGACCAAUGACCUCCAUCUGAAGAAAAAGUAUUAUCUUCUGAUUUGUAUUACUACUGCUGGGUUGCCUUGGACGUUUUUUCUCCAAAGAAAGCAGCACAGGUGUGCAGCUUUAACUAGAGGAAAAAGGAAUUACGCUCUUCUUGGCACCAGAUGUUUCCCUAUGAAAGGCAAGAUCUGGGUGCAUAUGAAAUGACUUUCUGGUGAGAAGAGCUCGUUCUUGCACUGGUUAACAUGUUGUUUAUGCUCAGACACCUGAGGGUUUAUAUCCUAUCCAGACUUCUGCAUUUUCUGAAGUUGUUUGUAUGUGAUGUUUAUCCAAUAAAGAAAGAAUGGGCCAUAAAGUUGUAGGUGACAAGAUGGAAAGAAACCUCUUCGGCUAUCAUGUCCAGCCCUCCUCUUUCUGCUAUGUGGUAUAGUGAAGACAUAUUUCAGAGUAUUGCCUGCCUGCAGCUCUGUCCACAUCUACCAUUGAGAGAAACUCGCUGCAGGAGUAGCUAACGGAUGAACAGAUGAGAAACAGAAGCUUUCCAUACUGCUCCUCGUUUGGAAGUGCCUCUGAGAAUGCCCUCGGUCUCUUGCAAUGCAAAGAGAUCAAGGUUUAUCUUCACCUCUACACUACUCCCUGGUGUUGG